CCUACGGGAGGCAGCAGUGAGGAAUAUUGGUCAAUGGACGAGAGGCUGAACCAGCCAAGUCGCGUGAAGGAUGACUGCCCUACGGGUUGUAAACUUCUUUUAUAAAGGAAUAAAACGAGUCACGUGUGACUUUUUGCGUGUACUUUAUGAAUAAGGAUCGGCUAACUCCGUGCCAGCAGCCGCGGUAAUACGGAGGAUCCGAGCGUUAUCCGGAUUUAUUGGGUUUAAAGGGGGCGUAGAUGGGUUGUUAAGUCAGGUGUGAAAGUUUGCGGCUCAACCGUAAAAUUGCAAUUGAUACUGGCAGUCUUGAGUGCAGUUGAGGUAGGCGGAAUUCGUGGUGUAGCGGUGAAAUGCUUAGAUAUCACGAAGAACCCCGAUUGCGAAGGCAGCUUACUAAACUGUGACUGACAUUGAUGCUCGAAAGUGUGGGUAUCAAACAGGAUUAGAUACCCGUGUAGUC
This 460-nucleotide ribosomal RNA is filed under the name uncultured bacterium. RNAcentral describes it as "partial 16S ribosomal RNA". It matches the Rfam family "Bacterial small subunit ribosomal RNA", at positions 338 to 795 of the family's 1533-position model. The record is from RNAcentral.